Molecule: long non-coding RNA, 321 nt
Filed under: Pelobates cultripes (western spadefoot toad)
Lineage: Eukaryota; Metazoa; Chordata; Amphibia; Anura; Pelobatidae
Source: RNAcentral
CACAAAGAGCAGGCCUACAAAACUUUACUAAGAUGGUAUCUAACCCCCGCAAGACAAUACCGAAUGGGUAAAACCGACUCGAACCUCUGCUGGAAACGGUGUGGGCAAAGGGGAACAUACAUACACCAAUGGUGGCAGUGCCCAAAACUAGCACCGCUAUGGGCAGAGGUGGCCCGCCUGGUCUCCAACUUACGGCACACAGAUAUACCCUUAGACCCAUGGAUAUGGCUCCUAUCCAAACCCUGGGAACCUUUAACCAGAGCCCAAAACAAACAGAACAGCUCUGGCAACCAGGAGGGCGAUAGCAGAAUUCUGGGGCAC